AGAGUUUGAUCAUGGCUCAGAUUGAACGCUGGCGGUAUGCUUAACACAUGCAAGUCGAACGGUAGCAGGCCUUCGGGCGCUGACGAGUGGCGGACGGGUGAGUAACGCGUAGGAAUCUGCCUCAUAGUGGGGGACAACGUGGGGAAACUCACGCUAAUACCGCAUACGCCCUACGGGGGAAAGGAGGGGAUCUUCGGACCUUUCGCUAUGAGAUGAGCCUGCGUUAGAUUAGCUAGUUGGUAGGGUAAAGGCCUACCAAGGCGACGAUCUAUAGCUGGUCUGAGAGGACGAUCAGCCACACUGGGACUGAGACACGGCCCAGACUCCUACGGGAGGCAGCAGUGGGGAAUAUUGGACAAUGAGCGAAAGCCUGAUCCAGCAAUACCGCGUGUGUGAAGAAGGCCUUAGGGUUGUAAAGCACUUUCAAUUGGGAGGAAAACCUGCCGGUCAAUACCCGGUAGCUUGACAUUACCUUUAGAAGAAGCACCGGCUAACUCCGUGCCAGCAGCCGCGGUAAUACGGAGGGUGCGAGCGUUAAUCGGAAUUACUGGGCGUAAAGCGUGCGUAGGCGGUUCGUUAAGUCAGAUGUGAAAGCCCUGGGCUCAACCUGGGAACUGCAUUUGAAACUGGCGGACUAGAGUUUAGUAGAGGGGAGUGGAAUUUCAGGUGUAGCGGUGAAAUGCGUAGAUAUCUGAAGGAACACCAGUGGCGAAGGCGACUCCCUGGACUAGAACUGACGCUGAGGUACGAAAGCGUGGGUAGCAAACAGGAUUAGAUACC
This 780-nucleotide ribosomal RNA is filed under the name uncultured Gammaproteobacteria bacterium. Its description in RNAcentral is "bacterial SSU rRNA". It matches the Rfam family "Bacterial small subunit ribosomal RNA", at positions 8 to 786 of the family's 1533-position model. Lineage: Bacteria; Pseudomonadati; Pseudomonadota; Gammaproteobacteria. The record is from RNAcentral.